Molecule: ribosomal RNA, 469 nt
Filed under: uncultured bacterium
Lineage: Bacteria
Description: partial 16S ribosomal RNA
Rfam family: Bacterial small subunit ribosomal RNA
Source: RNAcentral
GACGAACGCUGGCGGCGUGCUUAACACAUGCAAGUCGAACGGAAAGGCCCUGCUUGCAGGGUGCUCGAGUGGCGAACGGGUGAGUAACACGUGGGUGAUCUGCCCCUUAUUUUGGGAUAAGCCUGGGAAACUGGGUCUAAUACUGGAUAGGACCAUGCUGUAGGUGGUGUGGUGGAAAGAUUAGUUUCGGUAAGGGAUGAGCUCGCGGCCUAUCAGCUUGUUGGUGGGGUAAUGGCCUACCAAGGCGUCGACGGGUAGCCGGCCUGAGAGGGUGGACGGCCACAUUGGGACUGAGAUACGGCCCAGACUCCUACGGGAGGCAGCAGUGGGGAAUAGUGCACAGUGGGCGCAAGCCUGAUGCAGCGACGCCGCGUGGGGGAUGACGGCCUUCGGGUUGUAAACUCCUUUCAGCCAUGACGAAGCCCUUGUGGUGACGGUAGUGGUAGAAGAAGCACCGGCUAACUACGUG